AUACCUUCUCGGCCUCAAGGCUAAGAUCAAGUGUAGUAUCUGUUCUAAUCAGUGUGAACACUGGUUUUGCACCGUUUGGCGGACUUUUUCACUCGCA
Phytophthora infestans T30-4 is the source of this 97-nucleotide small nuclear RNA. It matches the Rfam family "U2 spliceosomal RNA". From Rfam's summary of the family: U2 is a small nuclear RNA (snRNA) component of the spliceosome (involved in pre-mRNA splicing). Complementary binding between U2 snRNA (in an area lying towards the 5' end but 3' to hairpin I) and the branchpoint sequence (BPS) of the intron results the bulging out of an unpaired adenosine, on the BPS, which initiates a nucleophilic attack at the intronic 5' splice site, thus starting the first of two transesterification reactions that mediate splicing. The record is from Rfam. NCBI's taxonomy places the organism in Eukaryota, Oomycota, Peronosporomycetes, Peronosporales, Peronosporaceae.